Molecule: ribosomal RNA, 437 nt
Filed under: uncultured bacterium
Lineage: Bacteria
Description: bacterial SSU rRNA
Rfam family: Bacterial small subunit ribosomal RNA
Source: RNAcentral
GCACAACGCGAAGAACCUUACCAGGGCUUGACAUCCCUCUGAUCCUCCUAGAGAUAGGAGCUCCCUUCGGGGCAGAGGUGACAGGUGGUGCAUGGUUGUCGUCAACUCGUGUCGUGAGAUGUUGGGUUAAGUCCCGCAACGAGCGCAACCCUUAUCUUUAGUUGCCAGCAUUUAGUUGGGCACUCUAGAGAGACUACCGUCGACAAGACGGAGGAAGGUGGGGAUGACGUCAAAUCAUCAUGCCCCUUAUGGCCUGGGCUACACACGUGCUACAAUGGAUGGUACAAAGGGCUGCGAAGCCGCGAGGUGGAGCCAAUCCCAUAAAACCAUUCUCAGUUCGGAUUGCAGGUUGCAACUCGCCUGCAUGAAGCCGGAAUCGCUAGUAAUCGCGGAUCAGCAUGCCGCGGUGAAUACGUUCCCGGGUCUUGUACACACCG